Molecule: ribosomal RNA, 465 nt
Filed under: Vreelandella stevensii
Lineage: Bacteria; Pseudomonadati; Pseudomonadota; Gammaproteobacteria; Oceanospirillales; Halomonadaceae
Description: partial 16S ribosomal RNA
Rfam family: Bacterial small subunit ribosomal RNA
Source: RNAcentral
CCUACGGGUGGCUGCAGUGGGGAAUAUUGGACAAUGGGCGAAAGCCUGAUCCAGCCAUGCCGCGUGUGUGAAGAAGGCCUUCGGGUUGUAAAGCACUUUCAGUGGGGAAGAAAGCCUUGGGGCUAAUACCUUCGAGGAAGGACAUCACCCACAGAAGAAGCACCGGCUAACUCCGUGCCAGCAGCCGCGGUAAUACGGAGGGUGCGAGCGUUAAUCGGAAUUACUGGGCGUAAAGCGCGCGUAGGCGGUCUGAUAAGCCGGUUGUGAACGCCCCGGGCUCAACCUGGGAACGGCAUCCGGAACUGUCAGGCUAGAGUGCAGGAGAGGAAGGUAGAAUUCCCGGUGUAGCGGUGAAAUGCGUAGAGAUCGGGAGGAAUACCAGUGGCGAAGGCGGCCUUCUGGACUGACACUGACGCUGAGGUGCGAAAGCGUGGGUAGCAAACAGGAUUAGAUACCCCUGUAGUC